UGAAAUAUUAUAAUACAUAUAAUAUAUAUAUGCAAAGCCAUCCAGGAUAUCCCAUUUAUAAAUCUAUAAUUAGCGUUUCGUAAUUGCUGAAGCCAUAAUCGGUCGAACUCCUCCUCCAGUUUGUGGUGUGCGUCUUGACGUUAAGUGUCUUGAUUAAAUUCAGGAACCUGCAAUCUAUUCCAAGCCGCCACCGAACUACUGAUGAGGAGCUUUUAAUUUUCAUGCCAUAAAUGCACUCGGAGAGAGAGUCCUCCAUUUAUGCACACCAUUGCUUCUUCAUGCAAAUAUAUCACAAAAACAACAAUGUGCAUAGUGAUGGGAAAAAUCAGUAGUUGAUCCAAUAUAAAAGAACACACACCACCUAACACACAAAUGCAAGCUUGCAAGUGCUUCUUAAAAUAAAAAUUAUUUCUUCUUUGGCGUUUACUGGAAGCUAAGUCGGAUUUGGCAGAAAACUUGUCUGCUUGUUACCUCCUACUCAUGCGAGUAAACAAAAUAUUUACAAACUUUAGGUAUAUUUGUUUAUAUGUGUAUAUGUAUAAGUAUUAAAAUCAUAAGUAUUUUUAACGAUGAUGUGGUAUGUGCCACUUUAACUACACACUCCCAAAAUUUAUAGCCCAUGUACAUACGUUUGUAUAUGUGUUGGUAUGAAUUUAAGAUUAAAUAGUUUCGAAUAAACGUUAAAACAGAUUUUUCAUCGAUGUUAAUCGAAAUAGUUUAAUUGUAUUAAUGAGAGGUUGAGCUUACACAUUCUGUGUCAUGAUGAUAUAAUAUAUUGCAUAGGUGAAGUAAGUACGCAAUUGUCCCUUUUCCACACGCUGCCUUAGUAAAAGAUAUUGCUUUUAUAAAUUUUUGUCCCCAAAUUUUAGAAAGAAUCUUAGAAAAAUAGGAGAGCUUAAAGUUUUUGAUCAAUGAACAGAACUGGCAUUACAGGAGGGAUUUCAACGUCAUUCCGUUAUAAAUAAGAUUUUGAUCGUCUUUUUGUUUGGAAAAUUAUAGUAAAGCCAAUAUCGCGGUAGUAAUUGAAAAUAAAAUAGAUUUUGUUAAAUUGUUAAACACAAACCUGGAAUAACUGUAUUUAUUAGCAUUUCAUUAUUGGCCAGUGUUCCGUCUUUAAGGGGAGCGAAAACUUGUUAUGACCUAGCUUCAUACAAUAACUUUAGAAUUAUCAUUAUUUUUCUAAAUAUUGAGUAUAUAUAAUAUUAUGUGAACGCCCUUAUUGAGAUGCGUUACGAAAUAUGAAACUUCCAUCUGCAAAUUCAAAACUACAAUGAUUGGACACUGUUUUGCGUUCUAGGUAUCUGCGUUGAAUACAAUGCUGUGAUGUUCAGAUGAACACUUAUGAAAAUGCUUUGGUCACAAUUUUUUCCAGCAGCAUAAUUUUUUUUUAAACCAGCGUGAUGGACUUUGUGUGAAAAUCCAUUUAUAAUUAACAGCUAGAAGCUUUUAUAUAUAUGAAUAUGUAUAAUCAUUCGGUCACCCGAGUAGUUAACACGGCCUACUACCAAUCGAAUGGCCGGAGCUCGAGUGUUGGUUUAACUAACAUUUCAAACAUAAGAAAUACUUUUAAAAGAAUUUUAACAGCUAACAGUUGAAACUAUUAAAAAUUUUAUAUAAAAUAAAUAACCAUAUAUACACACAAGAGCAAAUAUUGUAGCUAGAAAGCUAAUCUAAUUUGGUAUAUUUCCAUAAGUUUCAAUAUUUGUCUAAUUUCCUAUAAAAAAUCCCGAUUUUUCUUUCCUUGUCCCCUUUCUUUUAAAAUUCGAAAAUACAACGUUGAGUUAAGGCAGUGUCAAGGUCUCUUUUUCCUCUAUUUACUUCACGUGUAUAUUUUUUUCAUCAAGAUUCUGUGUAAGAAGUAUUUGAAUAGGAAAGCUUUGAAGCAAAAAAAUAUUCCAAAUUUUCAAAUGUCACGUUUUUAUAGAUGCGCGCGGAUCGGUUCAGCACCACGUUUACUCUAGUGGAUAAUAGGCAUCCUUACAGACGAUGAACAGUGCGCACGAAAGACGCUAUUGCCGCUGUGGAGCAGAGCAUCAAAGAAGAUCCGUAUGAACACAUUCGCGACCGUGUGUAAUAGUGGAGCUGUGGCAGUGUCCUUAUCGACCGCAAUAGCCGAGUAGUUUUUUUAGUUAAUUUUCCCUUCGAAAGGGAAUUCCAAUUCCUCCGAGUGUAAUUCUAAUAUAAAAUACAAAGAUCUUCUUAAGAAUACAUCAACUGUUCGGAAGUGACUUAGAAUUAAUUGAAGAUCCCUCCAUUCGUAAGAUAAACUUCAAGACGCUUAAUGUUGUUUUGCUGUUUUCGUAAUUUUUUCUGGUCUAUGGGGAGGUGCUUAACUGCGAAAUGAUUAAUGGAGGACAAACGUCAAGGCCUUGAAGUUUUGUAUAUUUUAGACAACGCACAUCGACCAGGAGAACUUAUAUUCUAAGAAUUGGUUGCACUUUUGGGGGUAACCUUUUGCCACGGAGAUAAUGUAACGAACUGUUCGACACUCGAUUAGAAGUACAUAUGUAUAUGUAAGUAUAUACAUUAUCAAAAUUAACAUCAGCAACAAAUAUCACGAUCAGCGAUAAUAUAAAACUCUCAAAUUUAAUAUGUGGACCUGUUUUAUUUCUACGUCGACAUAAUAGCUCUCCGUUUAAUUGCUUUCGUCACCAAUAAGGCAUUACCGCUAAACCUUAUAACCAAUAUAGAAUAUAUGGAUGUAUAUAUGCACACACAUUUAUUGACAAACACUAUAACAACCCGAAACCAACCUUUCAAAUCUUUCUUUAUGUUCUUUUUUUUUUAACAUAAACUUUUUAUUUAUUUUUUAUCGGUUUUCUAGUUUUUUUUUUUAAUUGCGUGGUACAUACAUAUGUACUUAUGUAGGAGGUUAUAAACGGCACAACCAUAAGAUUAUUUCGACCGAACGCAAU
Molecule: long non-coding RNA, 2915 nt
Filed under: Ceratitis capitata (Mediterranean fruit fly)
Lineage: Eukaryota; Metazoa; Arthropoda; Insecta; Diptera; Tephritidae
Description: uncharacterized LOC110118214, transcript variant X1
Source: RNAcentral